CCUACGGGUGGCAGCAGUGGGGGAUAUUGCACAAUGGUGGAAACCCUGAUGCAGCGACGCCGCGUGUAGGAAGACGGUCCUCUGGAUUGUAAACUACUGUCCCCAGGGACGAAGAUGACGGUACCUGGGGAGGAAGCUCCGGCUAACUACGUGCCAGCAGCCGCGGUAAUACGUAGGGAGCGAGCGUUGUCCGGAAUUACUGGGUGUAAAGGGAGCGUAGGCGGGGAUGCAAGUUGGGUGUUAAAUCUACCGGAUCAACUGGUAGUCGCACUCAAAACUGCAGCUCGUGAGUGAAGUAGAGGCAGGCGGAAGUCCGAGUGUAGCGGUGAAAUGCGUAGAUAUUAGGAGGAACACCAGGGGCGAAGGCGGCCUGCUGGGCUUUUACUGACGCUGAGGCUCGAAAGUGUGGGGAGCAAACAGGAUUAGAUACCCUGGUAGUC
This 440-nucleotide ribosomal RNA is filed under the name uncultured bacterium. RNAcentral's name for it is "partial 16S ribosomal RNA". It matches the Rfam family "Bacterial small subunit ribosomal RNA", at positions 338 to 795 of the family's 1533-position model. The record is from RNAcentral.